ACGUAGGAGACGAGCGUUAUCCGGAUUUACUGGGCGUAAAGCGUGUGCAGGCGGUUCGGCAAGUUGGAUGUGAAAUCUCCCGGCUCAACUGGGAGGGGUCGUUCAAUACUACCGAACUUGAGGGCAUCAGAGGAAGGUGGAAUUCCCGGUGUAGUGGUGAAAUGCGUAGAUAUCGGGAGGAACACCAGUGGCGAAAGCGGCCUUCUGGGAUGUUCCUGACGCUCAGACACGAAAGCUAGGGGAGCGAACGGGA
RNAcentral lists this ribosomal RNA (253 nucleotides) under uncultured prokaryote. RNAcentral's name for it is "partial 16S ribosomal RNA". It matches the Rfam family "Bacterial small subunit ribosomal RNA", at positions 525 to 777 of the family's 1533-position model. The record is from RNAcentral.